AUAUCUUUUGAGGUUUCCGUGAUCAAAAGAGAGAAACAGUGCCUGACCUCAGGAAGUUUACGUCUAAGGGACAGCGACAACACAGGCGUGGAGAAGUCAAUAAAAGGCAGGCCUCGUCUACUGAAGCGGCCGCAUUGUCUUUGCCGGAGUCGAGGGCCUCGGGACGCGGGGCGAGGCGGGCCGGGCCUGGUGGAGCAAGCUAGGUGAGGCCGCCCCCGCGUCCUCGUCCUCUCCGGGGGCGGCUCCCCUUCCCCCCGCAGGGGGGCCGGCCUCGCGGAGGCGCGUCUAUCCCGGCGGACCCUCGGCCUCACCAGAUGACCGCCUGAGGGCCGUAAGAGACUUUUUGCAGGCAGGGAAACUGAGGCAGGCCUUUGCGACCUCUGUUUCCUCACCUGUGAAACGACGGGGUCGGAUUGGUCGCUCAGUGUUGGUGGCUAGCAGUCAAAGGAGGAGCGACUGGCUGAGGAGGAGGCCCGGGAGAAAGCUAAGAAGCUGGAGGAGGCCGAAGGGAGGUGGAAGAGGCUUCAGCAGCUCCAGGAGGAGGAAAAGCGGAGGUGCCAGGAGCAGCUGCGACGGAAGAAGAGGAGCGUCUGUGGAAGGUGGCUGAGGCCCGGAGAAUCAUGAAGCAGGAGAAGCAGCAGCUGGCCCUUGAGAGGGAGCCCGAGAAGCUGCAGGAAAAGUGGGAGCUGCAAGAGAAGAAGAGAUUACUGUGGCAAUUGGAGAAGAGGGAGAAGGUGAGGCACUGGGUGCAGAUGGCCCUUGGUCUCCUCAUCUGUGCACUGAUGGGUCCUUGGGCGUGGCUACAGCCGUCCCCCUUCUCUCCAUGGCCCAUUCUGAGGCUGCUGCCCCUGGUCUCUUGGGCUUUUUCUGGGAACCGGGCACAGGGUGGGGGGCAGCGCCUUAGGUGGGUUUCCAGGACUCACUCGUGUGCUGCAUUGGCCCCAGGAGGAGUGUCACCGUCAACAGCAAGAGCCAAAGAAGCUGCAGGAGGAGCAGGAGAAGGCCAAGGACGCUGCAGCUGCUGCCUGGGUCAGUAACAAAUGCUGGAAUGUAAAGGUGGAUGUGCAGAAUCUAGUUUGCAGCUCUUAUGAAAUGACCCCACAGGACCCGCAGGAGGCCCAAGAACAGCUAUGAUAACUAUGGCAUGGAUCUUCAUAGUGAUGACUCCACAGAUGAUGAGAACCAGCCCCAAAAGCCUAUUCCCGCUUGGGCCAGGUAAGUGUAGACUCCCAUCUCUUAAACAGUUAGAAAUGUCUUCCCUGUUAAAUUGGACUGUAGUCUAUU
Molecule: long non-coding RNA, 1284 nt
Filed under: Phascolarctos cinereus (koala)
Lineage: Eukaryota; Metazoa; Chordata; Mammalia; Diprotodontia; Phascolarctidae
Description: lncRNA (ENSPCIG00000036925.1)
Source: RNAcentral